Molecule: ribosomal RNA, 257 nt
Filed under: uncultured bacterium
Lineage: Bacteria
Description: partial 16S ribosomal RNA
Rfam family: Bacterial small subunit ribosomal RNA
Source: RNAcentral
UAGGGAAUCUUCCGCAAUGGACGCAAGUCUGACGGAGCAACGCCGCGUGAGGGAUGAAGGCCUUCGGGUUGUAAACCCCUUUCAGCAGGGACGAAGCGAAAGUGACGGUACCUGCAGAAGAAGCGCCGGCUAACUACGUGCCAGCAGCCGCGGUAACACGUAGGGCGCAAGCGUUGUCCGGAAUUAUUGGGCGUAAAGAGCUCGUAGGCGGUCUGUUGCGUCCGCUGUGAAAACUCGGGGCUUAACCCCGGGCCUGA